Molecule: unclassified non-coding RNA, 223 nt
Filed under: Hevea brasiliensis (rubber tree)
Lineage: Eukaryota; Viridiplantae; Streptophyta; Magnoliopsida; Malpighiales; Euphorbiaceae
Source: RNAcentral
CCUCAACAUUAAUUGUGCAUAUCCUAAAAAUUUGGCAAAAGAAGGAGAUUCAGAGCUUAUUACCUUGGAAAUAGGCCAAGAUCUAAUGUCCGAUGCUACUUUGAGACAUGGGAAGGACAAAACCCUCAUUUCCUUACCUUCUUUGACAACUGCUAAUUUUGACAAUUCUUGUGGUUUAGGGAGUAGUUUGCUCAUGAGGAUAAUCUCCAAUUUUAGUAAGAAG